This 45-nucleotide non-coding RNA is filed under the name Trichobilharzia regenti. The record is from RNAcentral. Lineage: Eukaryota; Metazoa; Platyhelminthes; Trematoda; Strigeidida; Schistosomatidae.
AUCCAGUGGAAGAGUCCUAAAUAAGACGAAAUGUGCAUCCUGGAU